AGGUAAUUAGUUUAAACAAAACAUUUGAUUUCGGCUUAAACAACUUGUGGUUAAAGUCCACAAUUAACCUA
Molecule: transfer RNA, 71 nt
Filed under: Lophius litulon
Lineage: Eukaryota; Metazoa; Chordata; Actinopteri; Lophiiformes; Lophiidae
Description: tRNA-Arg
Source: RNAcentral